AGUGAACGCUGGCGGUAGGCCUAACACAUGCAAGUCGAACGGCAGCACAGAGGAGCUUGCUCCUUGGGUGGCGAGUGGCGGACGGGUGAGGAAUACAUCGGAAUCUACCUUUUCGUGGGGGAUAACGUAGGGAAACUUACGCUAAUACCGCAUACGACCUUCGGGUGAAAGUAGGGGAUCGCAAGACCUUACGCGGAUAGAUGAGCCGAUGUCGGAUUAGCUAGUUGGUGGGGUAAAGGCCCACCAAGGCGACGAUCCGUAGCUGGUCUGAGAGGAUGAUCAGCCACACUGGAACUGAGACACGGUCCAGACUCCUACGGGAGGCAGCAGUGGGGAAUAUUGGACAAUGGGCGCAAGCCUGAUCCAGCCAUACCGCGUGAGUGAUGAAGGCCUUAGGGUUGUAAAGCUCUUUUACCCGGGAUGAUAAUGACAGUACCGGGAGAAUAAGCUCCGGCUAACUCCGUGC
RNAcentral lists this ribosomal RNA (466 nucleotides) under uncultured bacterium. Its description in RNAcentral is "bacterial SSU rRNA". It matches the Rfam family "Bacterial small subunit ribosomal RNA", at positions 29 to 508 of the family's 1533-position model. The record is from RNAcentral.